UUUUUCUUAGAAGUUCUAAAAUGUCAUAGUCAAAUGUGUUUCAAAGAUAAUUGGAUUCUAAAUUAUCGUGUAAGAGUUCUUGAUAUUUCUUGAAUCUGGAUGCUUAAUUCUUCUCUUCCCAUUCCUCCCUCUACAUAUGCGGGAGCUUGGGCUUACCGUUGGCCAGAUAAGCUGUAUCCAGGGUAUAUCCUCGUUAUGUGAUAUCCUGACCCCCCUGGCGAUAGGUUGGAUAUCUUCUCAUCUACAUAAUGUAAGGUUAGACAUUUCUGUAUU
Long non-coding RNA from Eurytemora carolleeae, 273 nucleotides. RefSeq lists it as uncharacterized. NCBI's taxonomy places the organism in Eukaryota, Metazoa, Arthropoda, Copepoda, Calanoida, Temoridae. The record is from RefSeq and is a predicted model, not a curated record. The transcript has 3 exons.